AGUUGCAACAUCCCCGUGGGUUGGGUGAUGGCUCGGGAGAGCCGGCACAGCGAAUCCACUGCAACU
Molecule: small RNA, 66 nt
Filed under: unclassified sequences
Description: NAD+-I sequence
Rfam family: nadA riboswitch
Source: Rfam by way of RNAcentral